AAGUCCCCGUAACGAGCGCAACCCUUGCUCUUAGUUACAAGUGUCUAAGGGGACUGCCGGCGAGAAGCCGGAGGAAGGUGGGGAUGACGUACAAGUCAGCAUGGCCUUUAUAUCCAGGGCUACACACACGCUACAAUGGUCGGUACAAAGGGCAGCCAAACCGUGAGGUGGAGCGAAUCCCAACAAAGCCGGUCGUAGUUCGGAUUGCAGGCUGCAACCCGCCUGCAUGAAGUUGGAGUUGCUAGUAACCGUGCGUCAGCUAUAGCGCGGUGAAUACGUUCCCGGGUCUUGUACACACCGCCCGUCACGUCAUGGGAGUUGGCAACGCCUGAAGUCGAUAGCCUGACCUGCAAAGGGGGGCGUCGCCGAAGGCGGGGUUAGCAACUGGGACGAAGUUGUAACAAGGUA
RNAcentral lists this ribosomal RNA (408 nucleotides) under uncultured bacterium. Its description in RNAcentral is "bacterial SSU rRNA". It matches the Rfam family "Bacterial small subunit ribosomal RNA", at positions 1082 to 1498 of the family's 1533-position model. The record is from RNAcentral.